UACGUAGGGUGCAAGCGUUGUCCGGAAUUAUUGGGCGUAAAGAGCUCGUAGGCGGUCUGUCGCGUCGGCUGUGAAAACCUGGGGCUUAACUCCGGGCCUGCAGCCGAUACGGGCAGACUAGAGUUCGGCAGGGGAGACUGGAAUUCCUGGUGUAGCGGUGAAAUGCGCAGAUAUCAGGAGGAACACCGGUGGCGAAGGCGGGUCUCUGGGCCGAUACUGACGCUGAGGAGCGAAAGCGUGGGGAGCAAACAGG
This 253-nucleotide ribosomal RNA is filed under the name uncultured bacterium. RNAcentral describes it as "partial 16S ribosomal RNA". It matches the Rfam family "Bacterial small subunit ribosomal RNA", at positions 524 to 776 of the family's 1533-position model. The record is from RNAcentral.